GACGAACGCUGGCGGCGCGCCUAACACAUGCAAGUCGAACGAGCGAGAGAGAGCUUGCUUUCUCAAGCGAGUGGCGAACGGGUGAGUAACGCGUGAGGAACCUGCCUCAAAGAGGGGGACAACAGUUGGAAACGACUGCUAAUACCGCAUAAGCCCACGGCUCGGCAUCGAGCAGAGGGAAAAGGAGCAAUCCGCUUUGAGAUGGCCUCGCGUCCGAUUAGCUAGUUGGUGAGGUAACGGCCCACCAAGGCAACGAUCGGUAGCCGGACUGAGAGGUUGAACGGCCACAUUGGGACUGAGACACGGCCCAGACUCCUACGGGAGGCAGCAGUGGGGAAUAUUGCACAAUGGGGGAAACCCUGAUGCAGCGACGCCGCGUGGAGG
This 384-nucleotide ribosomal RNA is filed under the name uncultured bacterium. RNAcentral's name for it is "bacterial SSU rRNA". It matches the Rfam family "Bacterial small subunit ribosomal RNA", at positions 28 to 407 of the family's 1533-position model. The record is from RNAcentral.